UCAUAGUGUUGUGGUCAGAAAAGAUGCCUACUAUGACUUCAAUCUUUUUUAAUGUGUUGAGGCCUGUUUUGUGGCCUAAUAUGAGAUCUGUUCUGGAUAAUGUUCCAUGUGUACUUGCAAAGAGUAUGUAUUCCACUGUCAGGAUGGAAUGUUCUGAAUAUAUCUUUAAAUCCAUCUGGUCUAAUGUAUCAUUCACAGCCAUUGUUUCUGUUGAUUUUCUGCUUAGAUGAUCUAUCCAUUGAUAUAAGUGGGGUGUUAAAAGUCCCUUACCAUUAUUUUAUUAUUAUGGAUUAUUUCCUUUAUGUUUGUUACCUACUUUAAUGUAUUUGGCUGCUUCCAUGUUGGGUACUUAAUAUUUACAGUUGUUAUAUCUUCUUGUUGGACUGUCACUUUAUAAUUAUAUAGUGUCCUGCUUUGUCUCUUAUUGCAAUCUUUGUUUUGAAAUCUCUGGGAAAUGUGGUGUGAACAGGGGUUUUUGCUGGUCUUCUGGGGGCGGGGCUGCUGUAUUGUGACUGAGGCAAGCAUGACUGAGAAGGGCAGUCCCAGCAGAGCACACGGUCUGGUGCAUGCAGGUGACUCUGUGUUUGUAUUGAGGGGCAGAGGAAAGAAAUGGUGCUGGCCAACUCCUUUGCUCCUGGAGAGGUGUCUCUGUGAACUCUGGUCCUCAGAGACAUGCUCAGAGAAGAGCUAAUAAUCUCCCCAUUCUGUACCAGAUUAUCUCUCAAUUACUUUGAAAAUAAGAGUGUUUGGGAAAGACCCAUUCACCAAAAUGACCUCAAUCAUGCUUAGUUCGGGAGUUUUGGUGGAGAUCACAGGAAGAAUUGCCAUGAAAGGAGCCAGAAGCAAACCCCAAAGAUUGAGUAAUUACUCUUUUGGUAUGAUAUCACUAUUAAAUAUAUUUGAUUUAAAUUUAAACAAGUUUAUUAAAGACCCUUUUAAAAAGCAAAUGGUAAGCAGUUACCUUACGGAGAUGAUACAUAUGCACAUCUGAGAUAAUUGGGUAACUUAAUAUUAACACAAGUGGAAACUUAAGACUUAGCAAACUGUUUCCAAUGACAGCGUCAUCACUCUGUGUCUCAGACAACUAAGUGGAAGUGACAAGGAUUAGCCCUGGAAAACCAUGCUGAUGAUUCAAAAAGAGUUACUGGUGAUGACAAGGAAAACUAUUAUCCAUGAGCAUGCAAAGAUGUGGAUAGAGUUAUUUUAUGAGUGAAAAAGUCAAUAUUUUAUAUUCCUGUUUUGGAUAUUGUCUUAUUUAAAAUAGCAACUAUAGGUAGACAUCCAGCUCUUUAAUCAACAUUUAUAAAAUUUAUACAUUCAUGUUCAAAAAUUUUCUUUAGAUCUCACUGAAAAAUAGGGAGAUCACUCCGUAUUUGGGGCUACACUAUAUUCAAGCCCUGAGGUAACUAAGAACCUGGUUUACUCAACCCCACUUACUCUUUUUUAAGGCUAAGGCUAACCCUAAGUGUUUAUUUCAUCUUCCUCUCCAGAAAAUAAUUUCUUAGGACAGGGCUAUUGUCUUUUUCUGCUGUAACCCUUCCAAAUUGAGUUUUUCCCUCUUGUGGUGUGGGAACAUUCACUUGUCUGUUUUCUCAUGGUCCUUGUCUGUGGAAUGAGGAGAUAGAACAAGAUGUUUAUAAGGGUCCAUCUUGAGGUUUUGUUUUUCAACUCGCUGACUGUAUAUGUUACUUUAAAAAAGUUUUUAAGCCCUUGGUGGAUAAGAAUGGGAAUUAGGAGAUGCUUUCAUGUUGGAGGUAGAGAAGAGGGCAAAUCUCAACCCGAGACAGGUGGUAAAAAAAAAAAAAAAAUCAUUAACAAAUUUGGAAAUCUCUUCUACUCAUGCCCUCAUUUCUUCUUCUAAGCAAGAUUUACCAAGCACCUAUAUCUCCCUAGCAUACUAGGUGCCAGAGACUCAGAGAUGAAAACAAACAAAAAAACAGGGAACCUUCCUCCAGGGGAUGUGGAUCCUAGGUCAGAGAGAGACAAAAACUGGCCAUCAGUGUGGUCUCAGGAAACAGAAGGCCCUUAAGUCUGGGAAGAAGGAAGAGAUGAACAAAUGGUCUCACUCAGGAGGAUCCGUUUGAGUCUCUUCUUCAUUAAGAAGAAUUUUCUCACUAAGCAAAGGACUGGAACUAGAACAUUUGAGAAGAAAUCACAGGCUGGGAGGUAAGAGAAAACAGUGUGUUCCAGCAACUGGAGAGUGUAUAUCUCGAGAAGAGCCUACAUGAAGCUGGAAAUAGAGGCCCGGCCGACCAGGUAAGAGGAUGGAGCCAGAAAACCAAAUGUUGGCCAUUGGGUCAGAAUAGUUGGACAGCAGCAAGCCUUUCAUGUUGCCAGUGAUGCCCCCUAGUGGAUCGGCAGGAGAUGGAUGGGAGCAGCUGGAAGCCACCCUGAAGGAGAGGCCCCAGAGGUAAACAAAUGCGGAUGGUUAUGUGCACAUGGUGGCUGAUGUGGGCAGUCUAUAGCAGAAUGGCGUGGGAUAGGAGGAGGGUGAGCUGAGCACCCAGGAAAGGUGUCCUGUCUCCUUUUGUCACUAGCUGCAGGGGGCCAGAUUCCACCAUUGGAUGACUUUUUCUUUGGCCACAUGAAACUGUAGUUUUGUUAAAAUGCAUUCUGCUGAGGAAAGAGGGACACAUGUCCCUCCCAUUUGUUUCGUUUCAUUUCAUUUCCUUUCAUAAGUUUUUAUUUAAAUUCCAGUACAUUGAUCUCCCUUUUAGGUAUUGCUUUAUGGGCUUAGAGCAAAUGCAUGAGCAGGGAGUGGGGGAAGGCUGGCUUCAGAGCUAACUCAGAUGAGGACUUAAAGGGAUCCUGAUUGAGAAACAUUGCUCUAGGCUAAGGGCUGGGGAGGGGGAAGCUUGAGGGCGAUAGUUGGUGAUGAGAAGGCAGGGAUGAGGAAAAGGGAGAGAAACUCACAAGAGUUAGCAAGGUUUAAGAAGCAAGUGAGUCACUGUGCAAGCCAGCCACGGGCAUGCUGAUCAUCAAGGUUUUCACUAAAAGCAUUUGGGGACAGUUGGUAUACACAGCAAAGAAUCUGGGCUUUGGGGUCAGUUAGAGUUGGGACCCCAUUCUGCUUUUUGUCUAGCAUACAACCCUGAGCAAGUUGUUAAACCUGAGACUGUGUCUGUCAAAAAUGUUGAUACUUACCUUUUUUUUUUAAUGUUUACUUUUGAGAGAGCACGCAUGCCUGAAAGGGGGGAAGAGCAGAGAGAGAAGGAGACACAGAAUCUGAAGCAGGCUCCAGGCUCUGAACUGUCAGCCAUGAGCCCGAUGUGGGGCCCGAACCCAUAAACCGUGAGAUCAUGACCUGAGCUGCAGUCAGAUGCUUAACCCACUUAGCCACCCAGGUGCUCCUUACCUUGUGAGAGUUUUUAAGGAUUUAAUGACCCCAAAUGAGUAUUUUAUAGAUGGUAUGUAUUUGAUCGAGUUUAUAUGCCCGCAGCAGCCUGUGGCACAGUAGGUAAUGAGAAAUGUCUUGGGUGUGCAGGGAAUGUGCACCCCAGCAACAUGAGGAGCCAACGAUUUCUAGUCAAAAUUGUAAAUUUGGAAGUUUGAAUUUUUCAUGGGUCGUUUUCUAGGCUCUGAUUUCAGCUGGGUAGCCUAGGUGUUUGUAAGUCUAGAUUGAAGAAGGGGCCAAAUCCACAGUGACUAAAGAGUGACUGCCCUUUUCAUUCUUUGAAUGCUCAUGCUGAAUUAGGUUUUCUGUUAUGAGAAUCUCAGUGCCUUUGAGUGCCUUUUUACUUAAAUAUUGCUUUAGGCCAUUAAUUUAAAGACAUGAUCCCCUUCGUGGAAGCUUACAGAACCAAAUUCCAGAGAAAUUUGUAUUCAUUCAUUUAAAAGCUAUCACUGAACAAUAGGCUUCUCCUGAAUUUAGCCAAAACUGCAUGGAAAAGUGUUUCCUAUACGGACAGGAUUCAAAUGUACUUACUGGUUGUAGCACGGACAAUUCAUUAAGAUGGUCCUAGCAAAGGGUGUCCAGUCUGAGUCCAAAGGUAGGUCUCUUGGGGAAAAAUUGAUGGCUGGGUUACUCUGCCUACUCUGUCUCUAAAGGAUUGUAUACAGCCCUGGAUAAGGCGGUGGGAGAGACACUUCAUCUGAGGUAGUUUUUUUUUUCCCCUGUUACUUUUGUGUGUGAGGAUUCCUACUAUAUAUUCCAUCAUGUUAUACCAGUAAGAUUCCAGUUUCAUACAAAUGCAUAAGUGGAUACAGAAAUACCAUUAAGUGGGAGAGAAUUCUCACUAAAACAUGUUCAGGAAUAAUACCCUUCUAGUUAGACCUUUCUGGCAUGUUGACAUAACCAUAGUGACAAAGGAUAAAUGUAAAAGAAUCAGAUUUUGAAUGUCCACAGAUUUCUGAAACCAAGCUAUGCCACAUCAUUUGUUUAAAAUCCGUAACAGUUGGGAGAGAAUAAUUAUAAAAAUAAAUGUUGAACUUUGAAUUUAAAGACCUAUUUUUCUCCUCAGUGGACAUAGAACCAUUUUAAGCUAUUGAGACUCCAAGCAGCAACAGGAACGAGGGCCUGGAUUUGGUGGCUUGCACUUCCCUCUGCUUCCCUGCACUCUCUUCUUUUUCUACCUCUGUUCAGCUUUCAUCCUGCUCUUCUGCUUACUUGGACUAACUAGCCAAAGCAUAGGACUUAAAUGUGUAUGUAAAAGUGCAUUCACAGUUGUACUAAGUUUUAGAUUUGUAUUUUGAAGCUGGAAGGCGUGUUUUAUAUUAACUUUAAAGAGAAAAAAGCUUAAACCAAAAGUUAAAGUUGUUUUCUGCCCCUGGGCUAGGGAAACAAUGCUUUGAGGUAACUCUUUCUGGAAGCAGGAUGUGUUGGAUGCAUAAUAUAAAUUAGGAUAAGACAAAAGGUACCACAAAGAAGUCAGGCUGAGCCGGGUAGAGCCAAAUGAAGGAUUUUAAACAAAGGAACACUUAGCUCAAAGCCAAGAUAUUCUUUCUGUAACCUAUAGUACGCACAUGAAAGGAUGAAGUUAAGGGGUGAAGAUGUACAAAUCUAAUUGUCCAGAUUUUCUUCCAAGUGGAACUGUUCACUUAGUUUCACAUACUACUACUCAGCAAUCUUGGGAUGGCAGUGUGAUGUAUGUCUGCUGGCUUCAGGCCUCAUUGUUAAUAAGGAUGAGACUCCAGCAGUGUGGCUACAGACUGGCCACUAGAUGGCACAUUACCUCUGUACUUGGUUGGUCCCUGGCACCCUAGUAGAAAACAAAACAAAACAAAAAACAACCACUGGGAGGUGGCAGGAUAUUGGGAUUCCAGAACUCAUCUUGGAAAAUUCAUUUACCAGUUUUCCAAAUUUACAAUCUCUCAGUCCAUACUUUGUUACUAAGACCAAGACAGUGUAUCAAUUUUCUUCUAAAACCUAUUCCAUUAUGCUAAAUGAACAUUUAAAAAGCCACAGAACCCUCUGAAGGCAUCUAGUUUACACUAAGACCCUAGAGCAGUAGUGACAAAUACUGGUAUCUCAAACAUUAUGUGUAAUGACAUCCAACUGUAGUGAUCAUACACAGAAAAAAAAUUUAAACAAGAAUUUAUUUCUUAAAUUUACUUAAAGGAUUAGAGCGGAUACAUAGGCAACGUUUACAAUAACAUUUAGAGUUAUGUCAACAUAAGACCGAUAGCUAUGGUAACAAUUAGCACAUGCAAUUCACUGUAGAGGUAAAAAUACUUACUCUCUCUAGACAAGCCUUCUACACGAAGGUAGACUACGUAGGGGUAAAAGAGCAAGUGAACUUGAGAGGAUUGCACUUACAAGUAAAAGGGACAUAGCUAAGAUAUAAAGAGGAUACAUACCUAAUGCUAAUCACUGUAUUGUAGUACUAGCAAAUUGCACACUUACUUAGAGUAUAUUCAAUAAACAUGUUAAGACUAAAGGAUUUUCAAAUAACUGCCUUUAAAGUAACCAUCUGACAUCACAUUUUGGUAUUCAUGUUACACCACUUGAAACAUGUAGUUACCAUUCAGACAAAACUGGUCUUUAAGGGAUAAAAGAUGUAGAACGUUUCUCUCCAUGGUCUUCAAUGCAUUUUCAUCAUUAACUUUAAAGCACUUGGUAAUGAAGUUAAACUAGCCCACCUGAAGGAGCUACCGAUGAUGGCAAAAAGCUCUUAAAAAUUUAGGAACAAAUGGACAACACAAGAGCUCAUCCCAGGUGGUCUUUUUUCUUUUUAACGAAGUGUAUAGUAGAAUAUCACACUACUGCAUAAUAGUAGCACAUACAAAAAAAAGAUUAAUCCAAAAGACAGUACAUUUGGCUCUAGAAAGUUGUUUUGACUUGCAUCCGAAUUCUGUUUAUAAAUAUUCUGAAAAGGAACUGCUGUCAAAGACCAGUUGCUACUUUAUACCUUCUUUUAAAAAUAAAAUUGGGUCAUUGUCAUGGAUUUCAAAGUUUUUUUUUUUUUUUUAGUUAUGUCUUCUCUCAGCAUAGGGCUUGCUUGAACCUAUAACCCCAAGAUCAAGAGUCACAUGCUUUUCCGAGCAAGCCAGGAAUCCCGACCAUGACCAAUUUUAGGUUAAACAUAAAUAGCUUGCCAUUUUAUGGCUCCAUAUUCUCAUUUUAUAGAAAAGUGCAAUAAUUUUUUUAAAGCAAUCUUGGGCAGCAGAAUUGAACACGACCUG
This is a long non-coding RNA of Felis catus (domestic cat), 6621 nucleotides long. RefSeq lists it as uncharacterized. The transcript has 2 exons. Lineage: Eukaryota; Metazoa; Chordata; Mammalia; Carnivora; Felidae. The record is from RefSeq and is a predicted model, not a curated record.